Molecule: unclassified non-coding RNA, 348 nt
Filed under: soil metagenome
Description: partial contains 5.8S ribosomal RNA, internal transcribed spacer 2, and large subunit ribosomal RNA
Rfam family: 5.8S ribosomal RNA (bases 1-120)
Source: RNAcentral
GAUGAAGAACGCAGCGAAAUGCGAUAAGUAAUGUGAAUUGCAGAAUUCAGUGAAUCAUCGAGUCUUUGAACGCACAUUGCGCCCCCUGGUAUUCCGGGGGGCAUGCCUGUCCGAGCGUCAUUGCUGCCCUCAAGCACGGCUUGUGUGUUGGGCCCCGCCCCCCGGCUCCCGGGGGGCGGGCCCGAAAGGCAGCGGCGGCACCGCGUCCGGUCCUCGAGCGUAUGGGGCUUCGUCACCCGCUCCGUAGGCCCGGCCGGCGCCCGCCGGCGACCCCCCUCAAUCUUUUCAGGUUGACCUCGGAUCAGGCAGGGAUACCCGCUGAACUUAAGCAUAUCAAUAAGCGGAGGA